This 524-nucleotide long non-coding RNA is filed under the name Mus pahari (shrew mouse). RNAcentral's name for it is "lncRNA (MGP_PahariEiJ_G0003894.1)". The record is from RNAcentral. Lineage: Eukaryota; Metazoa; Chordata; Mammalia; Rodentia; Muridae.
GGAUUGCAGCGUCUGCUCUGCACAGUUGGCUACCUGUCCCUUGUCUUUCGAGGUGUGGCGGGUUGAGUGAUGCUAAGCACGACAAGUGUGGAGCCUGUGGUAGCUGAGGAGCUCCGAGCCGCCCGCCGACUUCCUCCACCAGCUUGUGAGCUCUGAGGAUACUAAACCCAAGAUGUAUAAUUUACUUGAGCCUCGCGCUUUGGUGGUUGUUAGGUUUUGAGGUAGGUUUCCUAUCCGCCGCGGAACCCAGGAAGACUUGAGUCAAAGCUACACAGCAUAGUAAAUUGACAGAAAAAGUACAGACGUGUUUCGAAAGCUGUUAGUGGUUUAAGUAGUAAAGAGCUUGGAAGACCUUGUCUUUGUAGGGUUGCAAGGUUUAGCAAAUACAAUUACAGGACUCAGGUAAAACUUUAAUUAAGAAGUCUUUGAACGAAGACGCUAAACCCCUCCCCAUUUUACUUAAUUGGAAGAUUAAAUUUCGCCGAGAAUUUUAUUUCUAUUUUUAUUUCUAAUAAAACUCUUAA